CGCUUCACUUGUGGGACGUAACCGCAGGAGUGAGGGGAUAGAUGUACUGUGGGGAAGAUGCUGAGAAACAUCAAGGGGUGGCGAAGAUAGUGCCCUAGCAUCGAACGACUGUCGGGU
The submitters of this non-coding RNA (117 nucleotides) gave its source as unclassified sequences. The record is from Rfam.